This 481-nucleotide long non-coding RNA is filed under the name Pan troglodytes (chimpanzee). RNAcentral's name for it is "long non-coding RNA NONPTRT012852". Lineage: Eukaryota; Metazoa; Chordata; Mammalia; Primates; Hominidae. The record is from RNAcentral.
ACGAGUCAACUAAAGGGUGUGAUCUACUGCUAAUAGGCUGAGUGGGGACACCCAGACUCUUCCUGGCCCCUCUGAGCAGCUUCCUUUCCUUCUGGUGUGGGGCAGGACCUUCUCUGGAAUGGGGAUCUUCUGACCCACAGUCAAACAAGAAUUUGGACAGGAGAAGUCACAUCAGGGAGACCAGAGACUAGAGUAUUGCAUCAUAGAGGAAAGACACUGAUGACAAGAACUCAGGGGAGCAGUGGAACUGGAGGCCUGGGAGCUUGGGACGUGUUCUCUGGGUGAAGUUGGCCGGCCAGCUGAUGACCUACACCAGUGGCAUUCACUCCUCAUGUGUCCCCCAGGAAUUCAUAGUGUGUGUCAUCAGGUAAAAGCAACACUACUUUCAGAUAUUUUCUGAUCUCUUUGAGAUCUGGACAGCACUACUGUGUACAUAUGGCCAGCAACAAAUUACACUCAAUGAAUAUUUUAGAGAGCAGCA